Molecule: ribosomal RNA, 439 nt
Filed under: uncultured bacterium
Lineage: Bacteria
Description: partial 16S ribosomal RNA
Rfam family: Bacterial small subunit ribosomal RNA
Source: RNAcentral
CUACGGGCUGCUCCAGUGAGGAAUAUUGCACAAUGGGGGGAACCCUGAUGCAGCAACGCCGCGUGGAGGAUGACGCAUUUCGGUGUGUAAACUCCUUUUAUAUGUCAAGAAAAUGACGGUAGCAUAUGAAUAAGCACCGGCUAACUCCGUGCCAGCAGCCGCGGUAAUACGGAGGGUGCAAGCGUUACUCGGAAUCACUGGGCGUAAAGGGCGCGUAGGCGGGUUGGAAAGUCAGGUGUGAAAUCCUACAGCUUAACUGUAGAACUGCACUUGAAACUUCUAAUCUAGAGUAUGGGAGGGGGAGAUGGAAUUAGUGGUGUAGGGGUAAAAUCCGUAGAUAUCACUAGGAAUACCUAAAGCGAAGGCGAUCUCCUGGAACAUUACUGACGCUAAGGCGUGGAAGCGUGGGGAGCAAACAGGAUUAGAUACCCCCGUAGUC